This 694-nucleotide long non-coding RNA is filed under the name Capsicum annuum. RNAcentral describes it as "long non-coding RNA (CANN_LNC013421)". The record is from RNAcentral. Lineage: Eukaryota; Viridiplantae; Streptophyta; Magnoliopsida; Solanales; Solanaceae.
GGCAUCAAGGAAAAUGUUUGACACAAAAGAUUCUGAAGAAGAAGCCAAAGAAGGGAUCAAAGAAUGCCAAGCCUAUUAUUAAGACGGAACAAUGCGAAAGUUUCUUCAACUUCUUUAGUCCACCUCAAGUUCCAGACGACGAAGAGGAUAUUGAUGAAGAGGCUGUAAGUAUUUCAUUUUCUUCACGUGUUAAUUUUUCUCGAGGUUAUGAUGAAGAUGCUGUGAGUGUGUGUUUUGUUUCGAGGCUUAAUUUGAACGACAUUUUCUCGUUACUUCUUGGACAGGCUGAAGAACUUCAAAGUUUGAUGGAACAAGACUAUGAUAUUGGGUAUGUUGAUAUGAAAAUAUCAAUUCGCAUGACCAUGAUAAUAACUUCCAUUUAAAGUGAAUAUGGUACCAUCCAGAAUAUAAAUUACUCGAGGAAGAUGAUGUUGAAGAAUCUGUACUUGCUCAAUUUCAAACUGUUUAUUUAAUUGCUGAGAUUCAUAUCCUAACUGUCUAUGCAGAUCAACUAUCCGUGAUAAGAUUAUCCCCCAUGCCGUUUCUUGGUUCACUGGGGAAGCUGCCGAAGAUGAUUUUGCUGACUUGGAAGAUGAGGAUGAUGACGACGAGGACGACGAGGAUGAUGAAGAGGAUGAGGACGACGAGGAUGAUGAAGAGGAUGACGACGAUGAGGAUGAAGAUGAGAGCGGGA